Molecule: non-coding RNA, 2142 nt
Organism: Cyanistes caeruleus (blue tit)
Lineage: Eukaryota; Metazoa; Chordata; Aves; Passeriformes; Paridae
Source: RefSeq, a predicted model, not a curated record
GAUGCCGAGCGCGGGCGGGGUGGCGGAGCCGGGAACCACGGUGUCGGCGGGGGAAGGGGGGACCGCGGGUUUAACUUUAAUAGUUCUUCAGGCUAUUCUUUAAGAAUAGCUAAUUCUUUAGCUAUUUCAGAGCUAUUUUAGGAUACUUCAACAUAUUUUAAGGUCAGUCAGAGGGGACGCCCUGUGAAAAUGUAGAGUUUUAGGACUGCAGAGGUAGGCUUUGGUAAGGGGCCGGUUGUGGUGCCGUGGGUUGGGUCCCAUGCUGCUGAUCCAAAGGUGAUUUUCCAGGUCCGGUGAAGUUGCUGAGGUUAGACUCAUGAAUAGACGCUGGAGGUUUGGUCUGAGGAAAAUCCUGCACUAGAAAACUCACGACACAAUUUUGGUGAUGUUGAUUUGUCAGAAGUGUUUAUAACAUCGAGGGCAGCCCGAGUUCGAGGUGGGGAGGGCUAGAGUCCAGAAGGAACCCUGCGCCGUUCAUAAUUCUAGGAGGCAGAAGCCCGCUCCCAGCCACUGGGCCCCUGGACUCAAAUGGCAGCCCUUUUAAAAUGUAAAAAAACCCUCCUCUCGCCCUCCCUCCCCGACUGUCAGUUUGUCAGAGGCGUUUGGCAGUCCAAGGGCAGCCUGAGUUCUGGAUGGAGGCAGCUCGGGUCCGGGAGGAAUCCUGCUCCGUUUGUAAUUUUGGGACGCAGAAACCCGCUCGCGGCCGCCCGGCCGCUGGACGUGAAUGGCACCCCUUUUCCGUGGGAAAGAAAACUCACCUCUGCAGGUUCCUGAUGUCGGUUUGUCAGAGACGUUUGGCACUCCAAGGGCAGCCCGAGUUGUAGCUGGGGGUGGCUUGGGUCUGGGAGGAAUCCUGCUCCAUUCGUAAUUUUCCUAACCCUCUAACCUUAACCCUGAACCCUAAUCUUAACCCUAACUCUAACCUUAACCUUAAACCAACGUGGGUAGAAAGAAAAUCAUUAAAAUUUUAAAAUAUAUUCUCAGUGUAUGUAUCAGAAGUUUUCCUUCUUGUAGAAUUCUACAAAACCCAGAAUGCACUGGCCUCAUCAGAGAUGUCAUCCUAUGGCAUGCCCAGAAAAACUGGAUUAAUGGGACCGAAUCCUGGCGGCAAGCACUGAAACCGAUAUCACUUCUCAAGUCCCACUGCUGGGCUCAACCUCACUGAAGGAUGACGGGAGGGAGUACACAGUGCUUCAUCUUUCACUGUCAGCCCUCAAAACCACUUUCACAAAAGAAGGAAAAAAGCACGUAUCCUGUUUCUAGAUGGCUCCUGUGGGUUUGGACACUAUCUGUUAUUAACAUAAAAGUCAGGAAACAAAAUCAUGACAUCUUUUAGGUCAGAAAAAACCUUUAUGACCAUCAAGUCCAACCAUUAACCCGGGAUUGCCAAGGCCACCGCUAAUCCUUGUCCUCGAGUGCCACGUGCACCCAUUUUUUCAAUCCCUCCAAGGAUGGUUACUCCACCAGUGCCCUGGGCAGCCUGUUCCAAUGAUGGACAGCCCUUUUGGUGAAGAAAUUUUCCCUAGUAUCUCAUGUAAACCUCCCCUGGUGCAACUUGAGGCCAUUUCCUCUCAUCCUGCUGCUUUACUUGGUAGAAGAGAGAAUCAUUUAGGUUAGAAAAGACUUUUGACAUCCUUGAGUCCAAUGUCAGGAUCUUUCACUGGUCUCCAGGGUAUGGUGUGAUGCUUUUCAUUUUCAGGUGAAUGAAAUAAGAUCCCUGAGGCAAAGCUGUGCUCCCUGCAUAUCAGACAUACCAAAAUACUUCCGUACAGCAGCCUUUUGAUAUGUCUGACACCCAGACUCAUGCUGGGCCUGCCUAAGUGUCAUCCUUGAGAAAGCUUUCGUCCCUUUAAACAUUCAUGUGCCCUUUCUUCUUCUCAUGUAUUUUUACUACUAACAGGUUUCCCAGCUGAUAACACAGCAAUGAGUACAUUAUUCAGCCUGGAUUGCUGACUUGACUGCUGGCAGUCUCCAUUACAGCAACAUCUUCCAACACUUACGGUUUCUUCUCUGACUCUUCAGGAUCUCCUUCCAUGGACUGGCAGAACAUCAGCAGUGUUUUCCAGCAGCUGGGGCUGAGAGCAGGAGGGUGCCCAGCACUGGUCUGGCACUGGAGCCACAUCCCACUGUUUGUCCAGCGAA